UACGUAGGGUGCGAGCGUUAAUCGGAAUUACUGGGCGUAAAGCGUGCGCAGGCGGUUGUGCAAGACAGGUGUGAAAUCCCCGGGCUUAACCUGGGAACUGCACUUGUGACUGCACAGCUGGAGUGCGGCAGAGGGGGAUGGAAUUCCGCGUGUAGCAGUGAAAUGCGUAGAGAUGUGGAGGAACACCGAUGGCGAAGGCAGCCCCCUGGGCUAACACUGACGCUCAUGCACGAAAGCGUGGGGAGCAAACAGG
Molecule: ribosomal RNA, 253 nt
Filed under: uncultured bacterium
Lineage: Bacteria
Description: partial 16S ribosomal RNA
Rfam family: Bacterial small subunit ribosomal RNA
Source: RNAcentral